RNAcentral lists this transfer RNA (79 nucleotides) under Hyphomicrobiaceae bacterium. RNAcentral describes it as "tRNA-Arg". It matches the Rfam family "tRNA". From Rfam's summary of the family: Transfer RNA (tRNA) molecules are approximately 80 nucleotides in length. The record is from RNAcentral. Lineage: Bacteria; Pseudomonadati; Pseudomonadota; Alphaproteobacteria; Hyphomicrobiales; Hyphomicrobiaceae.
GCGCACCCGUAGCUCAGCUGGAUAGAGCACCAGACUACGAAUCUGGGGGUCAGAGGUUCGAAUCCUUUCGGGCGCGCCA